Molecule: ribosomal RNA, 445 nt
Filed under: uncultured bacterium
Lineage: Bacteria
Description: partial 16S ribosomal RNA
Rfam family: Bacterial small subunit ribosomal RNA
Source: RNAcentral
GUGAGGAAUAUUGGACAAUGGGCGCAAGCCUGAUCCAGCCAUGCCGCGUGCAGGAAGACGCAUCUAUGGUGUGUAAACUGCUUUUGUACGGGAAUAAACACUCCCUCGUGAGGGAGCUUGACGGUACCGUAAGAAUAAGGAUCGGCUAACUCCGUGCCAGCAGCCGCGGUAAUACGGAGGAUCCAAGCGUUAUCCGGAAUCAUUGUGUUUAAAGGGUCCGUAGGCGGUUUAAUAAGUCAGUGGUGAAAGCCCAUCGCUCAACGAUGGAACGGCCAUUGAUACUGUUAGACUUGAAUUACAAGGAAGUAACUAGAAUAUGUAGUGUAGCGGUGAAAUGCUUAGAUAUUACAUGGAAUACCAAUUGCGAAGGCAGGUUACUACUUGUGGAUUGACGCUGAUGGACGAAAGCGUGGGGAGCGAACAGGAUUAGAUACCCCAGUAGUCC